This 1032-nucleotide ribosomal RNA is filed under the name Pseudoplectania nigrella. RNAcentral's name for it is "SSU rRNA". It matches the Rfam family "Eukaryotic small subunit ribosomal RNA", at positions 52 to 1094 of the family's 1831-position model. The record is from RNAcentral. Lineage: Eukaryota; Fungi; Ascomycota; Pezizomycetes; Pezizales; Sarcosomataceae.
UGCAUGUCUAAGUAUAAGCAAUCUAUACAGUGAAACUGCGAAUGGCUCAUUAAAUCAGUUAUCGUUUAUUUGAUAGUACCUUACUACUUGGAUAACCGUGGUAAUUCUAGAGCUAAUACAUGCUAAAAAUCCCGACCCCUGGAAGGGAUGUAUUUAUUAGAUAAAAAACCAAUGCCUUCGGGCUCCUUGGUGAUUCAUGAUAACUUAACGAAUCGCAUGGCCUUGUGCCGGCGAUGGUUCAUUCAAAUUUCUGCCCUAUCAACUUUCGAUGGUAGGAUAGUGGCCUACCAUGGUUUCAACGGGUAACGGGGAAUUAGGGUUCUAUUCCGGAGAGGGAGCCUGAGAAACGGCUACCACAUCCAAGGAAGGCAGCAGGCGCGCAAAUUACCCAAUCCCGACACGGGGAGGUAGUGACAAUAAAUACUGAUACAGGGCGCUUUCGCGUCUUGUAAUUGGAAUGAGUACAAUUUAAAUCCCUUAACGAGGAACAAUUGGAGGGCAAGUCUGGUGCCAGCAGCCGCGGUAAUUCCAGCUCCAAUAGCGUAUAUUAAAGUUGUUGCAGUUAAAAAGCUCGUAGUUGAACCUUGGGCCUGGCUGGCCGGUCCACCUCACCGUGAGAACUGGUCCGGCCGGGUCUUUCCUUCUGGCUAACCUCAUGCCCUUCACUGGGUGUGUUGGGGAACCAGGACUUUUACUUUGAAAAAAUUAGAGUGUUCAAAGCAGGCAUUUGCUCGAAUACAUUAGCAUGGAAUAAUAGAAUAGGACGUGCGGUUCUAUUUUGUUGGUUUCUAGGACCGCCGUAAUGAUUAAUAGGGAUAGUCGGGGGCAUCCGUAUUCAAUUGUCAGAGGUGAAAUUCUUGGAUUUAUUGAAGACGAACUACUGCGAAAGCAUUUGCCAAGGAUGUUUUCAUUAAUCAGGAACGAAAGUUGAGGGAUCGAAGACGAUCAGAUACCGUCGUAGUCUCAACCAUAAACUAUGCCGACUAGGGAUCGGGCGCAGUACUUUUCGUGACUCGCUCGGCACCUUACGAG